Pseudomassariella vexata is the source of this 92-nucleotide transfer RNA. It matches the Rfam family "tRNA". Rfam says of the family: Transfer RNA (tRNA) molecules are approximately 80 nucleotides in length. Their secondary structure includes four short double-helical elements and three loops (D, anti-codon, and T loops). NCBI's taxonomy places the organism in Eukaryota, Fungi, Ascomycota, Sordariomycetes, Amphisphaeriales, Pseudomassariaceae. The record is from Rfam.
GCGGGGAUAGCUCAGUUGGGAGAGCGUCAGACUGAAGUCCACUUCAGGAAUCUGAAAUCUGAAGGUCAUGUGUUCAAUCCACAUUCACCGCA